GAUGAGCGUGCGUCCCAUUAGCUAGUUGGUAGGGUAACGGCCUACCAAGGCGACGAUGGGUAGCUGGUGUGAGAGCACGACCAGCCACACGGGCACUGAGACACGGGCCCGACUCCUACGGGAGGCAGCAGUGAGGAAUAUUGGUCAAUGGACGCAAGUCUGAACCAGCCAUGCCGCGUGAAGGAUGAAGGCGUUCUGCGUUGUAAACUUCUCUUAU
This 217-nucleotide ribosomal RNA is filed under the name Aeromonas salmonicida subsp. salmonicida 01-B526. RNAcentral's name for it is "partial 16S ribosomal RNA". It matches the Rfam family "Bacterial small subunit ribosomal RNA", at positions 224 to 439 of the family's 1533-position model. Lineage: Bacteria; Pseudomonadati; Pseudomonadota; Gammaproteobacteria; Aeromonadales; Aeromonadaceae. The record is from RNAcentral.